GAGGGACGGAGGGACGAGCAUCCAGCCGGUCGUGUCUGGCUGCCUGCAGCACUCUCCAACACCCGCUGCUGCCCAUCCGCUGCCCGCCUGCCUGGCAUCUCUUGAUCCCGCCUGUGCGCAGCGGGCGGACUCUGGAAGCACACCUGCGACCGAAGGGUGACGGUGCUGAGACAGCCCCACUGUUGGCGGGGUGACGCGUGUGGGUGGAGGUGAAGUCUGUGUCGUGCCUGGAAGCAGAGGAUGGACGAGGAGCAGGGUUAACAGGUCGACUUUAUGGCAUCGUCACGAGACUCAGGGCAGCUGACACCCGGGGGCACGGCAGGCUCUUGACCGCACACACUGGCCACCCCGACAGAGUGACCUGACACAGAGCUGCUUUGAGAGAACAGGUAGCAAUUAUAGAAAUCUUUUGUAGAGACAGUGACAGAAACAGAAAUAAAUAUGAGUUGCAUUGUAUUAGAACUGUAGAGGCAGAAGAUUUUGAUGAAGUUACUCUUCCAUGGACUGAGCAUACGUGCCUAGCUGUCUGCUGACCACCUGGGACGUAGAGAGGAGUCAGGAACUGUCCCUUGACCUGGAGCGUCAUGGUCCU
Molecule: long non-coding RNA, 592 nt
Organism: Molossus molossus (Pallas's mastiff bat)
Lineage: Eukaryota; Metazoa; Chordata; Mammalia; Chiroptera; Molossidae
Exons: 3
Source: RefSeq, a predicted model, not a curated record